Molecule: long non-coding RNA, 2541 nt
Organism: Magallana angulata
Lineage: Eukaryota; Metazoa; Mollusca; Bivalvia; Ostreida; Ostreidae
Exons: 5
Source: RefSeq, a predicted model, not a curated record
UGCAGGAUACAUAAGUGGUAUAUUUGAAAAAUCAAUUUUUUAUCUCUCCUGUACGGGUAUGUCAAGUUAUAACCAACCUUUAUACGCUGUGAAAAAAUGAGUAGAGCGCGACUGGGCGAUUGAUUUACCAUGCUGAGGCAGCCGAAAUUAUCUGGCAUUUAAACAUAGUCAAUGACACGCCACGGUCUCAAAAAGUAGCUGUAUGUAAACGUGAUCACAUUCCAGGGGUUUUAAAUGACUCCGAACUAUAUCUACCCAUUUCAUAAAUUCAUACUUACCUAACGACAUUCGGACAGGUAGGAUCGUCAAGAUAACACUUCUUGAUAGGAUUUAUCUUCAGACAUGAUGGAUCUAUUCAAGUACCCGGUGCAUUUAAGAUAAAGUGUCGAAUAUCUCCUACCCUGUGUUGCCAAUGUAACUUACACAAGGGAAGAAGGAAAGAAGCUUGAAUAUUUGAAAGAAACAGAAUCACCGUGUAAUCAUGUAUGAAUAUACACUGUGUUUGGUUUGAUCCCGUCACCGGGUGACUAGUGGUGAAGGAGGAACGUGUUGGUGCACUCGGAUUAUUUUACCUAAAAAUAUGGCGCGGCGUCAUCGGAACACAUACAUGUAUCAAUCUGUGAUACAAUGUGGCUCGAUGUGGAUGGUUGAUUACAGACAGUGGGCUGGUACCAGAGGAAUGGCUAGUUGGAAUUAUUAAACCGAUAUAUAAGAACAAGAGUGAUCCCACUUCUCCGGGAAACUACCGACCCAUUACGUUACUAAGCUGUUUGGGUAAAUUAUUUACGUCCAUUUUAAUAGAAUUGUAUUCAGAAGAGAUAAAACUGAUCCAUAAUAACCAAGCGGGUUUCAGGAAAGGUUUUUCUACUUUAGACCACAUUCUUACUUUACAAUUUUUAUCCAAUACGUUGAUGAAGUGUAAGAAAAAACUGUUCUGUGCUUUUAUAGGUUUUAAACAGGCGUUUGACACAGUUUGGAAAAAUGGUUUAUUGUGCAAGCUCUUAAAUUAUGGUAUCAAUGGUAAAUGUUUUAAAUAUAUUACAAAUAUGUAUAAAGGUAUCGGUAUUAAAUCACUCCUCAAGAUGAAUGACACGGUAUCCGACUUUUUUUUCUUGUAAUGUUGGAGUCCGCCAAGGAAAAAAUUUGUCACCAUUUUUGUUUUCAUUGUACAUAAAUGAUUUAGAAAAUUAUCUUGUUGAAAAAAAUAUUACUGGUCUGCAAAGUUUUACCACAGCAAUAGAAAAUGAAUUAUGUAUAUAUAUAAAUCUGCUAAUACUUCUUUAUGCAGACGAUACUGUUAUCUUGGCGGAAUCUGGCGAUGAUUUGCAGAACGCACUGAAUGAGUUUGAAAGUUAUUGUAAAGAGUGAAAAUUAAAUGUUAAUAGCGAGCACAGCUCGCCGGCGAACGAAGCGAGCUCUAAGAACCAGUGUGCGCUGGAAAAAGAACGAGCUAAACCUACAGUUCAUCAAACAAAAUUUUUUGUCUACGUCCCAUAAUGCUCUCUAAUGUUUUCACCCGUGGUGCUAUGCCAAAAAUGGCCGACUUUUAACUCGUAUUUUACGGUGUCUUAAAGUUUGAAGACACGUUUUGAGUACCGCAUAUGCUUUGGCGAGACUCAAAAGAUUUGUUACAUGCUUCCAUACCUUCGUAUUGAGUCGAGAAACGUACACAAAGACGAACAAAGUCAUGGAUGACGUCACAGUGCUCUCGCGCUAUAUUUCCCGCGAUAAAUUUAGAGGUGGAUCAAACAUCUGUAAUGAGUGUACUAGCUAUUUCAGUAUAGACUGCGAUACCUGCCUCAUUGACAUAUGAUUUAAGAGCUGGCUCUUUUUAAAAGCCAAAAUAAACAUUUAUGUGACCAAGCCAAAAAGGCAAUGUAUGGUGUCAUUAGAAAAAUUAGACAAUUUAAUCUACCAGUUACAUGUCAAUUAGAACUCUUUGAUAAAAUGGUUAUACCUGUAUUGCUAUAUGGUUGCGAAGUAUUGGGUUUUGAAAAACUUGAUAGUAUUGAACGUGUUCACUUAAAGUUUUUAAAGCAUAUUUUAUGUUUAUGUACUUCAAACUAUAUGGUUUACGGAGAAACAGGUCGUUUUCCUUAUAUCUGUAAUUGCAUUUACUAGAAUGGCAUCAUACUGUGUAAAUUAAUUUCUAGUACUAAUACUAGCAUUACAAAUUAUAUUAUGAAUAAAAUCUGUCAAAAUCGUAAAUCUUCAGUAUCUCCAAAUUUCUUGUCAAUACCUUUACUGCUGAAUUAUGAGCGUUUAAAUUGAGCAUGGCCGAUAAAAAAAUUGAAUGCGUAAGACAUACAUCGUACCGCAUAUAGAAUGUUUUUAACAAAAUAUGUACAGCACAUUGCUGGGAUUUAGUAACAAACUGUAUAGCAACAGUGAGUGUGUAGUACAGUAAUAAUAUGUACAACCCAUCGAUUUAAGGUAAGGUUUGGAUUUUUGUAGGCACUGUACAAAAGUUACAUACCAUUUUGUUAACUAUACUUAAGUCUUUUAUUCACAUAAAACUCAAAAAAUUUUGCCGGACCCGUU